Eriocheir sinensis (Chinese mitten crab) is the source of this 310-nucleotide long non-coding RNA. RefSeq lists it as uncharacterized. The record is from RefSeq and is a predicted model, not a curated record. NCBI's taxonomy places the organism in Eukaryota, Metazoa, Arthropoda, Malacostraca, Decapoda, Varunidae. The transcript has 3 exons.
CCACGGCUAACGACCUCCACCUGCCCGGGUUUGUUUAGAGUUUGCUCUCCUAGGUGAAUUGCCUACCACGGCUAACGACCUCCACCUGCCCGGGUUUGUUUAGAGUUUGCUCUCCUAGGUGAAUUGCCUCCCACGGCUAACGACCUCCACCUGCCCGGGUUUAUUGUUCGGAGUUUGCUCUCCUAGGUGAAUUGCCUCCCACGGCUAACGACCUCCACCUGCCCGGGUUUGUAUAGAGUUUGCUCUCCUAGGUGAAUUGCCUACCACGGCUAACGAGCCUCACCUGCCCGGGUUUGUAUAGAGUUUGCUC